UCACCUCUCAAGCCUGGCUUGCUGUUGGAUCUCGGUUUUCGUCUCGGCGGGAACCUGUCCUAAAGAUAAUGACGGUGUCUAUGAGGACUCCAGUACAUUGAGCUUUUUGAGCACGUACGAGGUAGAACUCUAGGCCCGGUCUUUACCCCACAUUAUAUCAA
RNAcentral lists this unclassified non-coding RNA (161 nucleotides) under uncultured Cladophialophora. Its description in RNAcentral is "sequence contains ITS2". Lineage: Eukaryota; Fungi; Ascomycota; Eurotiomycetes; Chaetothyriales; Herpotrichiellaceae. The record is from RNAcentral.